AAGUCGUAACAAGGUUUCCGUAGGUGAACCUGCGGAAGGAUCAUUAUAGAUUGACCGAAAGGUCGUGUCUUCAUCCACACACACCGUGAACCGUUUUGGAGCCCUCAGGGGUUUCCGGACAACACACCAAAACAAACGUAAAGAAUGUAAACUAUCGUAAACAAAACAAA
RNAcentral lists this unclassified non-coding RNA (170 nucleotides) under plant metagenome. RNAcentral's name for it is "partial contains small subunit ribosomal RNA and internal transcribed spacer 1". The stretch from base 1 to 46 matches the Rfam family "Eukaryotic small subunit ribosomal RNA", at positions 1786 to 1831 of the family's 1831-position model. The record is from RNAcentral.